UAGGUGAUGGCGGGGAAGAUAAAACAUUUCUAGAGUUGAACCGUUGUUCCAAUUUUGUAACAGAAUUGGUAGAAACCCCACCUACCUCUUCCUUCUUUUUCUUAGAAAACAUGGCAGUUCCAGAUGAUGUCGGGGUUUUGGCAAUUUUUCCUGUCCGAAUACCUUCUUCCAAUGAUUCUCCUAUUUUUACCAAAUCCGCAAA
This 202-nucleotide long non-coding RNA is filed under the name Capsicum annuum. Its description in RNAcentral is "long non-coding RNA (CANN_LNC004217)". Lineage: Eukaryota; Viridiplantae; Streptophyta; Magnoliopsida; Solanales; Solanaceae. The record is from RNAcentral.